This 2153-nucleotide small RNA is filed under the name Pongo abelii (Sumatran orangutan). RNAcentral's name for it is "retained intron". The record is from RNAcentral. Lineage: Eukaryota; Metazoa; Chordata; Mammalia; Primates; Hominidae.
UCCCCUUUUGUCCUCAGGAUCUCGUGGCUCCACUGGGGUCCCAGGACAGCAAGAUAGGGACAGCUCAGCCCUGGAGUCAGAGGAGGGCACACAUCCUGGUUCCCCUCUUCUGACUGUAUGGCUGGGCAAGCCCCUUAAUCUCUCAGAGCCUUGAAUCUUCUCAUCUGCAAAAUGGGAAUGAUGAGCCUUGCUUUAGGGGUUAUUGUAAAGAUUAAACCCAAUAGCACUUGUAAAGCCUUUAGGAGCCUCCUGGCACACGGUGGGCUCUGGGAUCUGGCUGUCCCUGUCCGUCCUCCCCCAGAGAGAGCAGGAUCUGGCUCCAAACUUCGCCACUAGGCUCUACUGCCUCCUGCAGGGAGGAGGUUGGACAUUCAUUGGGUUUGAGGGCCUUCCAGUCAAUUCCUCCAAAUAACUGAGCUGGCAAUGGGCAACAGCGCUUAGCCUGAAAUAAAUCAGUGGGAGCUUUUUGAAACCCUAGUGCAGUCUGGCUGAGGUUUUUAAGAACUCAAGACUUCGGAGGCCAAGGGUUCUGGGUCUGAAGCCCAGCUUUGCCCCUUACUGGCUAUGUGACUUUGGGAGGGUGGCUGAAGCUCUCUGAGCCUCAGUUUCCUUAUCUGUAAAGCGGGGACGGCAGCCGACCCACCCUCCCCAAUGAGGUGAGAAUGGUUGACCCGCGGCGCCCCCUGCCGGUGGGAUCAGCGUCGCAGCCCGCGGUCAGGGCGACCAGCCGAGCCUGGCGCCCGAGCGCUCCUGCUGGCGGGGCCGGCCCCACCCCGCCCCACCCCGACCCUCCCCUCACCCGCGCCCGCCCCUCGACCCGGCAGGAUCGUGCAGAUGCUGCUGCCGGUGACCAGCCGCACGCGCAUACGCCGUAGCGGCGUCAGUCCACUGCACCUGGCGGCUGAGCGCAACCACGACGCGGUGCUGGAGGCGCUGCUGAGCGCGCGCUUCGACGUGAACACGCCGCUGGCGCCCGAGCGCGCGCGCCUCUACGAAGACCGGCGCAGCUCCGCGCUGUACUUCGCGGUGGUCAACAACAACGUGUAUGCCACCGAGCUGCUGCUGGAACACGGCGCCGACCCCAACCGCGACGUCAUCAGCCCCUUGCUCGUGGCCAUUCGCCACGGCUGCCUGCGCACAAUGCAGCUGCUGCUGGACCACGGCGCGAACAUCGACGCCUAUAUCGCCACGCACCCCACCGCCUUCCCCGCCACCAUUAUGUUCGCCAUGAAGUGCCUGUCGCUGCUCAAGUUCCUCAUGGACCUGGGCUGCGACGGCGAGCCCUGCUUCUCAUGCCUCUACGGCAACGGCCCGCACCCGCCGGCCCCGCAGCCCUCCAGCAGGUUCAACGACGCGCCCGCGGCCGACAAGGAGCCCAGCGUGGUGCAGUUCUGUGAGUUCGUAUCUGCCCCGGAGGUGAGCCGCUGGGCAGGGCCCAUCAUUGAUGUCCUCCUGGACUACGUGGGCAACGUGCAGCUCUGCUCGCGGCUGAAGGAGCACAUCGACAGCUUUGAGGACUGGGCCGUCAUCAAGGAGAAGGCAGAACCUCCAAGACCUCUGGCUCACCUUUGCCGGCUGCGGGUUCGAAAGGCCAUUGGGAAAUACCGUAUAAAACUCCUAGACACCUUGCCGCUCCCGGGCAGGCUCAUUAGAUACCUGAAAUACGAGAACACCCAGUAACUGGGGCCACGGGGAGAGAGGAGUAGCCCCUCAGACUCUUCUUACUAAGUCUCGGGACGUCGGUGUCCCCAACUCCAAGGGGACCUGGUGACAGAUGAGGCUGCAGGCUGCCUCCCUCUCAGCCUAGACAGCUACCAAGAUCUCACUGGGUCUCAGGGCCAGAACUUUGGCCAGAGCAGAGAACAGAAUGUGUCAAGGAGAAGAAUCAUUUGUUUACAAACUGAUGAGCAGAUCCCAGACCUUCUCUACCUUCAGGAAUGGCAGAAACCUCUAUUCCUGGGGCCAGGGCAGAGCUUGUUCUGGGGAAGGUGGGCUCAGAGCCUUCCCUCCACUUGCUCUGGAAAACUCACCACUUGACUUCAGAGCUUUCUCCCCAAGACUAAGAUGAAGACGUGGCCCAAGGUAGGGGGUAGGGGGAGCCUGGGUCUUGGAGGGUUUUGUUAAGUAUUAAUACAAUAAAUGUUACACACGUG